UUCAGGAACACCUCAAGAGUUACAGCAGAAAGAGGCAGGGAGAUUAUCUUGUUCCAUAAAUUGCAGAAAUGAAACCAGAUCAAUAAACAAUCAUCAGGCAAAGACCAAUGGAGGUAACCCUAAUAAAUCUGGCUGUAUGGUUAAUGGCAUACCUACUAUAAUAUAGCAACCAGGCUAAGCGAUAUGCAGUGCCAUGGGGGAAAUUCCAUACCUCAGAGGGAUGACCGUCGACUACCAGUUGACUGCUAUCAAGAUGUGGAAGUAGAGGGAAAGGAGAUGGGGCAGUGGAGAAGCAGCUAAGGUGGGUCUUUCAAGAGACCUGGCCAUGUGCAUGAGAAGUUCCUUCAUUUAUCAAACAAGUGUGUAACACCUACCACAAAUCAGGUGGUGUACUAAGUGCCUUGUCUUUUUACAAAUGUUAACCUAUUUAAUCCU
Panthera uncia (snow leopard) is the source of this 435-nucleotide long non-coding RNA. RefSeq lists it as uncharacterized. The transcript has 3 exons. The record is from RefSeq and is a predicted model, not a curated record. NCBI's taxonomy places the organism in Eukaryota, Metazoa, Chordata, Mammalia, Carnivora, Felidae.